RNAcentral lists this ribosomal RNA (254 nucleotides) under uncultured bacterium. RNAcentral's name for it is "partial 16S ribosomal RNA". It matches the Rfam family "Bacterial small subunit ribosomal RNA", at positions 524 to 776 of the family's 1533-position model. The record is from RNAcentral.
UACGUAGGGUCCAAGCGUUAUCCGGAAUCACUGGGCGUAAAGCGUGCGUAGGUGGGUUGUUAAGUGCAAUGCGAAAUCCUGUGGCUCAACCAUAUGGACUGUAUUGCAUACUGGCUACCUUGAGGACAUGAGAGGCAAGUGGAAUUACCGGUGUAGCAGUGAAAUGCGUAGAUAUCGGUAGGAACACCAGUGGCGAAGGCGAGUUUCUGGACAGUUACUGACGCUGAGGCACGAAGGCCAGGGGAGCAAACGGG